This 298-nucleotide long non-coding RNA is filed under the name Homo sapiens (human). RNAcentral describes it as "HSALNT0072297". The record is from RNAcentral. Lineage: Eukaryota; Metazoa; Chordata; Mammalia; Primates; Hominidae.
UGGAACUACAGAGAAGACAGUCACUGCUGCAGAAAUCACCCAAGGAAACAAGGAGAGAAAUACCCUGGCUUCUCCCUCCUUUCUACCCUCCAUUUUUUGCCAGUGUGUCUUCCUGGCCUAACCCAACCAGCUGGAAGUCUGAGACACAAGAGCCUGUGAACUGCAGCCUGCAAGGAUCAGCCAUCGUGAACUAAAACACAGCAGGCAAAGAGGGAGGAUGGAUUCAGGGCAAACAGAUCCAGGACCAGUACUGCACCUUUAGGGAACGAAUUUACACUUCAGCAUCGAGGUUGCCUUC